This is a long non-coding RNA of Enhydra lutris kenyoni (northern sea otter), 968 nucleotides long. RefSeq lists it as uncharacterized. The record is from RefSeq and is a predicted model, not a curated record. Lineage: Eukaryota; Metazoa; Chordata; Mammalia; Carnivora; Mustelidae. The transcript has 2 exons.
UUGAGAGAGAGCAAGGGAGAGAGGGAGAACCAGGCUCCCUGCUUGAAUAAAGGCCCACACAUCACAGUGUUCUGGCUGAGGAGAAAGCCGGACGCAGGGCUCAAUCCCAGGAUCCUGGGGUCAUGACCUGAGUCAAAGGCAGACAUUUAACUAACUGGGCCACCCAGGUGCCCCUCAUCAAUGUCUUUUGAAGGACAAAAGUUCUUAGGCUUGAUAAACUAAUUUGUUUUUUUUGUUUUUUGUUUUAUUUGUUUAAUUUGUUCUUUUAUAAUUUGUGCCGGAAUAGCUGAGUGAAGAAUCCGCCGGGUGGAAAUGGCGGUAGAUUAGACGUUACGGAAGAGGAAGUUAGCGAGAUUGAAGGUGUAUGAAGACAAACUGCAAAUGGAACAGAAGGGAUGAAAACAGGCAGCAUCAGUGAGCGGUGCGGCGGUGCCAAGCAGCUGGUGCAUGUGCUGUUAGGCCCAAAGAGCAGGGAUUGCUGAAGACCGAGAAGACGCCUACAGCGUGGGAGAAAACGACAUCUCAUGUCACCAAAAUUAAGGAUUUCUUUUCAACAGAAGCUGGAGAGCAGCAUGAAACAGAUUUUCCCUAAGAGCCCUCAGAAGGAGCCAACCCUGCUGACUUCCGGAUUUCAGACUUCUGGCCUCCGGCAGACUGUGCAAAUGUCCUGCUGUUUUAGGUCUCCCGGUCUAUGGUGACUUGUAGCCUGUAGUCAGCACAGAAAAAGAAGAGUUCGGAGUCUCAGAAAGUCCUAUCAGAUAGGAUUGGUUUAGAAUAUUUGUGGAACUCUUGAAAAUCCAAAGGAAAAAUUCAGAGUGAUAGAAAAAUGUACCAAGAAUAGGAAUAAGCUGUUCCUUCAGGGGAAGUCCUACGUGAUGGAGAGAAGUGACGAAAUGUUAGUGCAUUCUGCAGCAUGGGUUAAUCUCAGAUGGGGUGUUAAGUAAAGACAAUAAAAAUCUGCAGCCCAA